UACGGAGGGGGCGAGCGUUAUUCGGAAUUAUUGGGCGUAAAGGGCGCGUAGGCGGCUGGACAAGUCAAAGGUGAAAUCCCUCGGCUCAACUGAGGAACUGCCUCUGAAACUGUCUGGCUUGAGGCCGGGAGGGGGUAGCGGAAUUCCCAGUGUAGCGGUGAAAUGCGUAGAGAUCCGGAGGAACACCGACGGCGCAGGCAGCGUCCUGGCCGCUUGCUGACACUGAGGCACGAAAGCUGGGGGAGCAAACAGG
Molecule: ribosomal RNA, 253 nt
Filed under: uncultured bacterium
Lineage: Bacteria
Description: partial 16S ribosomal RNA
Rfam family: Bacterial small subunit ribosomal RNA
Source: RNAcentral